Long non-coding RNA from Alosa sapidissima (American shad), 1203 nucleotides. RefSeq lists it as uncharacterized. NCBI's taxonomy places the organism in Eukaryota, Metazoa, Chordata, Actinopteri, Clupeiformes, Clupeidae. The record is from RefSeq and is a predicted model, not a curated record. The transcript is spliced from 2 exons.
UGGUUUUUAAGUCAGUACAUACAUCUUGCUAACAAACUCUGGCCUGAGGUUCAGACAGCUAGCCAUGGUGAGAGCACAUACGAAUGUCCUUGGAUGGUGAAAAGUCUGCUCCCAGGGGUGGACCACUACUCCUCAUGGCAACUGCCGUGAAUUGUGGUGAACGAAGACUGGACCAAUGAAUCUCCCUGACCUCUCCUAUGGCCUAUCAGAAAGCAGAGCAGUGGCCAGCAUCUGAGACAAGCAUCUGAGCGUUAUAGCAACAUCCUUGGCUUUUCUGGACAUUUCACGCUAUUGGAUUCUACCAGCACACUUUGCUCAAGUUGCAACUUGCAUCCUGAUUAUUUAGUUACUCACCACAAACGGAACAAUCAUGAGGCUCUUUGCAUGUCUGAGUUUUAGAGCAUGUGUGACUUCAAGAUGAAAUUAAAAUGAGAUUCCAUUUAAGAUCCCAAAAUUGACAGCGUAACAAUAUGGCAACCAUUCUGGAUCCGUACUCAGUACAGGCAGUUUGUGUUUGUACAGACCAUACCCAUGAGGAUGGUAUUUCCUUGAAUUUCCCCUGGGGAUCAAUAAAGUAUCUAUCUAUCUAUCUAUCUAUCUAUUGCACGUUAUGGAACGCUGUAGAGCCGCCGUUUCAGUGCCAGUUUGAUGUUUGGUCAUCUGCAUCUCUCCACAGGGCUUAGUGUGGUAUGUCAGGACGUUGACCAGUUUACUUGGUUAUGUGGUCACGGAGUCACAAACUUCCAGCAGGCCAACGACUCUGCCCCCUCUUGAACCAUCACGUGUGUGUGUGUGUGUGUGUGUGUGUGUGUGUGUGUGUGUGUGUAUGUGUGUCAGGAGUCCUGUCUCAAGCCACUGUUCAGGUGUGUGUGUGUCUGUGGGGGGAAGUAGAUGUUUGGAGUCCAGUUGGUGUUCUGUGAGGCCACAGGGAAACACUCCAAUGAUUAUUCAAUAAAACACUUUCCAUCCAUGAAGCCGUGUGUGGGGUGUGGAUUUGUGCAGUCAGUCAGACACUGUGUGUGUGUGUGUGUGUGUGUGUGUGUGUGUGUGUGUGUAUGUGUGUCAGGAGUCCUGUCUCAAGCCACUGUUCAGGUGUGUGUGUGUCUGUGGGGGGAAGUAGAUGUUUGGAGUCCAGUUGGUGUUCUGUGAGGCCACAGGGAAACGCUCCAAUGAUUAUUCAAUAAAACACUGUCCAUCCAUGAA